This 253-nucleotide ribosomal RNA is filed under the name uncultured bacterium. Its description in RNAcentral is "partial 16S ribosomal RNA". It matches the Rfam family "Bacterial small subunit ribosomal RNA", at positions 524 to 776 of the family's 1533-position model. The record is from RNAcentral.
UACGUAGGUGGCAAGCGUUGUCCGGAAUUAUUGGGCGUAAAGCGCGCGCAGGCGGUCCUUUAAGUCUGAUGUGAAAGCCCACGGCUCAACCGUGGAGGGUCAUUGGAAACUGGGGGACUUGAGUGCAGGAGAGAAGAGUGGAAUUCCACGUGUAGCGGUGAAAUGCGUAGAGAUGUGGAGGAACACCAGUGGCGAAGGCGGCAUCCUGGACCGGUACUGACGCUGAGGCGCGAAAGCGUGGGGAGCGAACAGG